Molecule: long non-coding RNA, 666 nt
Filed under: Mus caroli (Ryukyu mouse)
Lineage: Eukaryota; Metazoa; Chordata; Mammalia; Rodentia; Muridae
Description: lncRNA (MGP_CAROLIEiJ_G0005641.1)
Source: RNAcentral
GACACUCAAAGACCCUGGUGCCACUCAGAGGAGCAAGCCAGGAAAUCUGCCAGCAGACCCUGGCCUGCCUUGACCCUGCCUGACAGAAGCAGGCAAAAUGGCUCCCGACAGGUAGAGCGGGCACGUCAUGAGAGCAGAACUGGUCCCGCCCCUCACCAGCUGCAGCACUCAGGAGUUACAGGCCCUGCAUCUUGCCUGGACAGCACAAUAGAACUGACCCUAGUGUCGGGAGCAUGGGCAAGCUGGUCUGUGGGCCUGAGCAUGGGAGAGGCGGUCCUGCCUCUUGUCUGCUGUGUAGUCCCUUCCCCUCCUUUUUGCCCUCACCACCUAUGGCAGGUAGGAAAGCUACCCAAGAAUCUUGAGAGUGGAAGAACUAGCCUUGUCCCUUCCUGGCUUCAGCACCCAGGAGAGCUGGUCCUGCACCUUGCCUGGACAACAGGAUAAAACUGGUUCUGGUUGUGGAGGCUACUUGUGAGUCAACCCCAAAGGCAUGAGAGUGUGAGCAGGCUAACCAGCUCAGAUCCCUCUCAGGCCCAGAUCCAGGGCUUUGAAUCAGCACACCCCAACAUCUACCCCAUCGAUGAGCUGCUGGAGUGCAUCAAUAUGCAAAGAUUUUUAUGGAGACCAAGAUGGGAAUUUUUAAAAUAAAACUAGAACUACCCCGUG